AUGACACAGUAUGAAACAGAUCUGAUGUGAUCUUCUCUCUCAAAGAGCUCUCUGGAAGAGGUGGGGUUUAAAGCACUGAUACCUGAUGCGAUCUUGUUAAACUUCUGUUAGAGAGAGCAUAAGAAACACACACAAUGAAUCUCCAUUCUGUCAUUCUGCUUUCUGCCUUUGCAUAUGCAACAUAUGGAAAUGAAAUUAAACCUACCAAAACAGAGGAGUUUGCCUACGAGGGUUCAAGUGUUAAAUUAUCCUGCAGUUAUUCAUCUGCAUUCUAUCUUCACUGGUACUGUCAGUAUCCCGGAUCAGCUCCUCAGUUCAUUGUGCUCAUCUCAGGCAGUGCAAAAGAAGAUCGGAAGUCUAAUGUAGAUUCCAGAUUCAUGGCUAAAGUCACUAAAGACAAUAAAGAAAACCAUGUGUAUCUGGAGAUCUCCUCUACAUCUAUAUCAGACUCUGCUCUGUACUACUGCGCUCUGGAGCCCACAGUGACAGGAAACACAAGAACACUGUACAAAAACCUGAUAUAACUAUAACUCUACCCUCUACAAAUUAGACUGGAGCACAUCACAAUCAAGAGAAUCACAUUCCCAAAAUAUCAGCUCAGACACUGAGAACAAAAUCUGAUAAAAUGCAUUAAAAUAUCU
Cyprinus carpio (common carp) is the source of this 641-nucleotide non-coding RNA. The record is from the annotation of a RefSeq genome assembly. Lineage: Eukaryota; Metazoa; Chordata; Actinopteri; Cypriniformes; Cyprinidae.